RNAcentral lists this long non-coding RNA (1263 nucleotides) under Durio zibethinus. Its description in RNAcentral is "long non-coding RNA (DZIB_LNC001465)". Lineage: Eukaryota; Viridiplantae; Streptophyta; Magnoliopsida; Malvales; Malvaceae. The record is from RNAcentral.
AAGCUUAUCCCAACGCCAAGGGGGCUUAUGGUGCUCGCUUUUAAGGUCAUCCGAAAGUUCAGCCAUUUCGAUAUGCCUACUCAAACCAAGAUGUGCCAUGAGAAGGGCAACGUGAGUGAGCAGCUCCUUACUUUGCUUAAGUUGCUUGGCAUGCUCUCUCCAUGCACAGUGCGAUGCAGCAUAAGUCAGCAUGUCCGCCCACACGCUAGCAAUCAUUUUCCAUUUUUCUUCUUCAUCCCAUCGAAAUUGCUUUACCAACAUUACCAAUUUUCGGGAGAGCACGCAUCCAUCAAAAAACACCGACUUCCUUUGACCUCCUAUCGCAAGAAAUAACGAUCGAGAUUCGUCAUCAAGAUUCUCACUAAGAAAUAGUACUCUGGCAGCUUCAGUGAUUGUUAACCCCUUGGUAAAAAUUCAUUGCUUCCUUGCAGGUUUCCCGGUGUCGUACCUGACCUAUACCUUCAGGAAGCAUAGAUGGACGCAUACAGAGGAGGUACAUCAUGUAAUCAGAUAAGCGCUUGCUAAUCUGGCCAUACGGACCGACAUUACCAGGACGUUGAAGAUAGAAAAGAAUAUCGGUAGCGAUGUGCCAAAGAAGAAUACUGUGUGUGAAUUCAACCUCGUUUAUGGUCCAACUGAGUUUUAAUUCAGGGUCUGUCCCAGUAAUCCCGCUAUUUCCUCUUUCACCCAAUAGGGAAGAGAGUACAUCGAUCUUGUUCCCCAUUGCUGCAUAUUUAUUGAACCUCAUUUCAAUGUGAUCACUGAUGAAUUCAGUCAAAUAACUAUCCACAUUCUCCCAGGUAGUAUGCCUGAAUUUCAUCAAAGUGUCAUCAGUGUCAAAAAUCCUUAUUAUUUUUUUAAACAUAGAUUUAGAUUUGUUGAGCUUAGUGCAAUAACUCAAAAGGCUGUGUUGUGCCAACGAUUUCAUUCCUACCUUCUUGCCCUUCUUAAUAUGGAGCAACCAGUUAGAUGCAAUUGCCUGAUACCUAAACUUGUUUCCACCUUUCGUCAACCAGAGCAUUGUCCACUCAGAGAGAACAUGCACAACGGCAGAAUAAAAUUCCAGAAGGAUAGCUCCAACCAGCAGCAAAUAGGCUAUGGCAAUGUCAACUUUCGGGUAGCCCGACUUAGAAACAAAUAUCGUGAAGGCGGUCAACGCUGAAACGGUAGAUGAAAAGCAGAUGCAUCGUAGAAUUACACCCACCGGAGAUAGCAUUAUGGGAACCUUUGUGUAGAGGACAUCGUACAAAAAUCCUAGUUCAG